CACGUAGUUAGCCGUGGCUUUCUGGUUAGGUACCGUCAAGGUACCGGCAGUUACUCCGGUACUUGUUCUUCCCUAACAACAGAGCUUUACGACCCGAAGGCCUUCAUCGCUCACGCGGCGUUGCUCCAUCAGACUUUCGUCCAUUGUGGAAGAUUCCCUACUGCUGCCUCCCGUAGGGGAGUCUGGGCCGUGUCUCAGUCCCAGUGUGGCCGAUCACCCUCUCAGGUCGGCUACGCAUCGUCGCCUUGGUGAGCCGUUACCUCACCAACUAGCUAAUGCGCCGCGGGCCCAUCUGUAAGUGACAGCCGAAACCGUCUUUCAGCUUUUCCUCAUGAGAGGAAAAGGAUUAUCCGGUAUUACGCCCCGGUUUCCCGGAGUUAUCCCAGUCUUACAGGCAGGUUGCCCACGUGUUACUCACCCGUCCGCCGCUAACCUUCCGAAGAAGGUCCGCUCGACUUGCAUGUAUUAGGCACGCCGCCAGCGUUCUCUGAGUCCAGGAUCGAACUACUCUGACGACUCGCCGAGGA
Molecule: ribosomal RNA, 527 nt
Filed under: uncultured Bacillus sp.
Lineage: Bacteria; Bacillati; Bacillota; Bacilli; Caryophanales; Bacillaceae
Description: partial 16S ribosomal RNA
Source: RNAcentral